AAUAAUCAGAGUUUUUCAACAUAAACGGAAUGUCACAUUCUUUUCUUAAAAUCAUAAACUGAAUAAAUAACUAUUUAUCCUUUAAAAUUCAAAUACAAGAUCUUUAAUACUUCGCAGCGGAAUUUAUUUCAAUAACUAAAACAGUCCUUGGCACGAAGGCCUCUUCAUAAAUGUCUCAUAAAAAUCCAAUCUAAAAUAUAGUCAUAAAUCUUCAAAAACAAUACGUAAGGAAUAGAAAAGCAAUAACAAAGUUCCCGUCCCGUUACGUAUCAGAGCACCUAAGACACACGAGAAAGAAAGCUCACACGACAUCAACUAUUCUUGGUUACCUGUUAGUUACCCAUGGUGGGCAAACAGAAGGGGUGAGAUUUCACAAACAAUAAUAUUAAGCAUAUAAUUCAUCAAUUACAUUUAACAACAUAAGCAUCAUCAAUCAUACUUAACAACUCAUAGACAACAUCAUGUAAUCAUCAUAAUAUUCAUCAUAGAUAAUAAUAUAUCAUAAUUCACUUCUUUAAUAAUUCAUAUAAAGAAUCACAGCUUUAAACAAUUUCAUGAUUUAACAACUUAACAACUCGACAACUUGACAACUUAACCUCUUGACUAUGCAACUUAAUCUUCUAAUCAUGCAUGUGGUACCAAUACGGGGCAUCAAGUCCCAAUCGCUAUUUGAGUAUUAUUAUACUAUCGGAGCAUCAAGCCCCAAUCGCUAUUUGAGUAUUAUUAUACUUCCGGAGCAUCAAGCCCCAAUCGCUGAAUGCUAAUGCAUGGACUCGACCUCUUAAACAUCUUAAUCGACAACCUCUUAUAUAAUCCAAUAAUUUGGAACUUCAUCAUCUUAAUCAACUUAGACCGACUCAUGCAGCUUAGUUAAAUAACAACAGCAACACAACAGUAUACAAAAACAGCAUGACAUAAUAAUAUCAAAUGCAAGUCAACAACGUCUCAAUUAUUCACAUAUAAUUCAAGUAAUGCAUAUACAAUUAUAUCACAGUAUAACAACAUCAAAUAAUAAUCAACAUCUUAAAACAUCAUAUAUACAUAUAACACUUCAUCAAUCAUGGACAAUAUCAUAUUCACAAACAUACACAUACAUAUACUAAUUCAUCAAUCAUAAUCAAUUAUUCAGUGUGACCUACGUUCAGUAAUUUGACCAUAACUCAAGUUCUAUAAAUCAUUUUGAAGUCAAAUCAACGGCACUAGAAAGCUAACAUCCAUACCUACAACUUUCGUGUUUAUACCUAAGACCAAUUAUGUACCAAUCAAUACCAGUUUUCAUUUCAAUUCGGACAAAGUUGUGCUGAAAUUCAUAAAAAUUCACUGUGACCUACGUGCAGUAAUUUGACCAUAACUCAUAAACCGAAAAUCAUUUUCAAGUGAAACUGACACCACUGGAAAGCUAACACAAUUAUCUACAACUUUCAUGUUUACACUAAAGGCUAAUUCAAAACAGAAACGUGUGAAAAAGACGCAAGAACAUGAAACAGGACAUGCUGUCAGAGAGCAACUCGGGAAAAACACACUUUUCACCCCAAAAUCCCAAUUUUAACUUCCCUAUGCCCAAAUUUGAUCCCAAAGUUUGUCUAAACAUUUAUAUACAUCAAAAGAGACUCGAAACCAUAUAAAAUUUGACCCAAAACAUUAUUUUAGAAAAUCAUCAAAUAAUCACUUUUAACCCUAAUUUCCAAAUUCUCAAAAACUAAAACCUACAACAUGUUAAAUCCAAUUUUCAGAAUCAAUGACUUAAGGUUAUUGAAUGUUAGUCCCACCCUUACCUUAUAGAUGAAAAUCGCAGCACUCCUAGGUCUUCCCCCUCCUCUCGGCUUUUUCUCCCUUUUCUCCAAAAUUGAUCGUACGUUAUGUUUUUUCUAAACUAGGUUUCUCCUAUUUAUAACCCUUUUUCUAUUUUAUCUUAUUUCUCUUUCUCCCCC
Molecule: long non-coding RNA, 1931 nt
Filed under: Medicago truncatula (barrel medic)
Lineage: Eukaryota; Viridiplantae; Streptophyta; Magnoliopsida; Fabales; Fabaceae
Description: long non-coding RNA (MTRU_LNC003642)
Source: RNAcentral